CCAACGGCCCUCUUUAGGGCCACAAAUCUUAUGUAAUCCUCAUUUU
This is a non-coding RNA of Caenorhabditis remanei, 46 nucleotides long. The record is from Rfam. NCBI's taxonomy places the organism in Eukaryota, Metazoa, Nematoda, Chromadorea, Rhabditida, Rhabditidae.